GUUCUUUGAUUUUUCUUUUUGUAGGUUAUGUAAAAUAAUAAAAUAAAAUUAUCAUCCGACUCACUGUGAAAAAGAAAGGAUUGGAGUUCAAUGUGGUAUCUGGAUUAUGGAUUGUCUCUUGUGUUCGGGGCACUAACUAAUUUUCUGGAUUGUCUACAGGAUUUUUCUUACGGGAAAUUGAACUGUUUGUUCUUCGGAAAUAGGGUCUUGGAUGAUCUUGAAGAAGUAUCAGUAGUACUCGGAAUAGGUUGUAGGAUGAUUCACUUUUUAUUUUAAUAUCACAUACAUUGGAGUACACGCCAAAUUUCAACAAUGAGUAAAGUUAGAAAAAUUCAAAUUUAAAUCAAGGAUUUCUUCCUCAAAAUAACGUUAAAACCUCAAAAGAUGGAUGAAAAAUGUGCUUUAGGAGCUGAAUUAUAAAUAAUUGAUACAUUUGGAAGUAAACAAAACGGUUUAAGAUAAGAUUUUCACCAACAAAAAAUCUCUCUGUCACAAAUUCUAGGUUAUGUUCUCUCGGUGAACUAAGAGAAUGUUAAAAUUAUUACAAUACUUUUAUUGAUGUAAAAGUGGAACUAACAGUAGACCUAGAACUAGAAACAUUCUGGUUUAGCCAUAUGUCUCUUAAGACGGUUAAUCGGAUUUUAACUGUUAACGGAUUUUGUACUGAUCCUGGCUCUACAAAGGUGGUUUGUCAGAAAGGAAACCCGCCAAGAGAGUUACAGGAGGCAGUGGUCUUACCACAACCACAGUUUUAGCAUGUGUCAACGCUGCUGGUGAAUAUUUGCCUCCUGCAAUAAUACAUCAAGGUAAAAGAAUGUGGGACAGCAUGCUUGGAGGUGAAGAAUGUUUCUAGUUCUAGGUCUAGUGUUAGUUCUAAUGUUAGAGUUAGUUCUAAUUUUAGUUGUUAUUCAACGCUACGAGGUUUUACUGUACUAAUUUUAUUCUAAAUACGUUAAAUUAAAUGGUACGGUUAAUAGUACUACUCAAACGAAUAAAUAUUAAACAAGAAUGUAUAUA
Long non-coding RNA from Onthophagus taurus, 1017 nucleotides. RefSeq lists it as uncharacterized. The record is from RefSeq and is a predicted model, not a curated record. Lineage: Eukaryota; Metazoa; Arthropoda; Insecta; Coleoptera; Scarabaeidae.